CCCUACGGGGUGGAGCGUAGAGGGCUGCGCUCCAUCUUCGAGGCCCUCGGUGUCUGCCCGGAGGUUCCCGAGGAGCAUCUCGAAGCCUAUGCCAUUCUCACCGCCAUGGGUCCAACCUACCUCUGGUUCCAGCUCUACGAGCUGAAGGCAAUUGCCCAAUCGUUCGGUCUUGCUCCCCAGGCGGUGGCGGAGGGAAUAGCGCAGAUGGUCUCCGGCGCGGUUGAAACCAUGUUCGCUUCGGAUUUGAGCCCACAAGAGGUCAUGGACCUCAUCCCGGUCAAACCCCUCGCGGAAGAGGAAGAAAAGAUCAGAGUGAUGUACCGGUCACGACUCAUGGCCCUCUUCACCAAGUUGAAGGGAUAAAGAGGAAUAACGGCACAUGGAUAAUGAAUUGGCGGGAGGGC
Molecule: ribosomal RNA, 404 nt
Filed under: uncultured prokaryote
Description: partial 16S ribosomal RNA
Source: RNAcentral